GAUGAACGCUGGCGGCGUGCCUAACACAUGCAAGUCGAACGUGAACCCGAUUUCGGUUGGGUGAAAGUGGCGAACGGGUGAGUAACACGUUGGUGACCUGCCCCGAAGGGGGGAUAACUCUGGGAAACCAGAGCUAAUACCCCGGAUGUUUAAGGGUUUAGACGCCUUAGACUAAAGCUCAGGCGCUUCGGGAGGGGCCUGCGGGCUAUCAGCUAGUUGGUGAGGUAAAGGCUUACCAAGGCGAAGACGGCUAGGGGGCGUGAGAGCGUGACCCCCCACAAGGGAACUGAGAAACGGUCCCUACUCCUACGGGAGGCUG
RNAcentral lists this ribosomal RNA (319 nucleotides) under uncultured Chloroflexota bacterium. RNAcentral's name for it is "bacterial SSU rRNA". It matches the Rfam family "Bacterial small subunit ribosomal RNA", at positions 28 to 351 of the family's 1533-position model. Lineage: Bacteria; Bacillati; Chloroflexota. The record is from RNAcentral.